GGGCUGUUGGUCUAGAGGUAUGAUUCUCGCUUUGGGGUUUCUUCAAACAAAUUUGCCUCUGCGAGAGGUCCCGGGUUCAAUCCCCGGACAGCCCC
Molecule: non-coding RNA, 95 nt
Organism: Podospora didyma
Lineage: Eukaryota; Fungi; Ascomycota; Sordariomycetes; Sordariales; Podosporaceae
Source: the annotation of a GenBank genome assembly